AUGAACGCUGGCGGCGUGCCUAAUACAUGCACGUCGCGCGAACGGACGAGAAGCUUGCUUCUCUGAUGUUAUCGGCGGACGGGUGAGUAACACGUGGAUAACCUACCUAUAAGACUGGGAUAACUUCGGGAAACCGGAGCUAAUACCGGAUAAUAUUUUGAACCGCAUGGUUCAAAAGUGAAAGACGGUCUUGCUGUCACUUAUAGAUGGAUCCGCGCUGCAUUAGCUAGUUGGUAAGGUAACGGCUUACCAAGGCAACGAUGCAUAGCCGACCUGAGAGGGUGAUCGGCCACACUGGAACUGAGACACGGUCCAGACUCCUACGGGAGGCAGCAGUAGGGAAUCUUCCGCAAUGGGCGAAAGCCUGACGGAGCAACGCCGCGUGAGUGAUGAAGGUCUUCGGAUCGUAAAACUCUGUUAUUAGGGAAGAACAUAUGUGUAAGUAACUGUGCACAUCUUGACGGUACCUAAUCAGAAAGCCACGGCUAACUACGUG
Molecule: ribosomal RNA, 496 nt
Filed under: uncultured bacterium
Lineage: Bacteria
Description: partial 16S ribosomal RNA
Rfam family: Bacterial small subunit ribosomal RNA
Source: RNAcentral